GGAAUUCAAGGAGGUAACCUGGGAGGUGGACUGAGUCCUACACAAGUCCCAAGCCUUCCUUUCCCAUGGCUUCCCUCCUGUUUUCCAAGGACACCUGUUUCUACUGGGGCGGCCAGCAUGACCAGGUUCCACAGGGUAGCAAAAUGGCCAUCAGCUCAGGCGUACACCCCCAAGGAUCAGCAGAAGAGAGAGUGCUCCUUGUUCUGGCUGCAUGCCCCAUGUGGACACUGAGGGACUCUGCCCCGCACAGACACUUAGGGAUCCAGGUGGCUGACGUGCCCCCUCUUGCAGCUGCACCAUCUACACAGGCACAUCUUGCACUUCGCAUGUCGGGGGAGGAGAGAGACUGUGGAACCGUGUGGACUUUUCACCAUCUCCAUUGGAAGCGACAGACUUCCUUUCCAUUCAUAUUUCACUGGCUAGAACUAGUCACAGCCCAGCCUCACAGGAAGAGGGUGGGAAACAAAGGGAUGCACAUGGAAUGUUUGGAAAGAAUUACUAUUGCUGCCACAGCCACUCACUGGCUGUGUGUCUACAGGCAAAUUACUUAACCUCCCUGUGUCCCAGUUCCCUUACCCAUUAACUGAGGAUUGCAGUUACUCCUUUUUCACUGGGGACAGUAUCAGCAGUAUCAGGAUUAAAUCAGUUUCUACAAUGUGUCUCAGAAAAGUGCCUGACACAUAGAAAUACUCAAUAAGGGUUAAAUAGAAACAACACCCCCUCUCCUUAGGGUCUCCUCUGUACAAAUGAUCUCCCCCUCCACCAAAAGACUGAGGUCAAACAGCAUUCAGUAAUGUUCCAGUCUAGGAUAAGAACUCGGGACUGAGUACUUUGUGAUGAGUAGUUUAAUAUCUUUGAACCUCAAUUUCAUCUUCUGUUAAAACAGAUUCCCACUUACUUGUGAGGGCUUAGAUGAGAGUCCAGUAAGAAAAUAGUUAAAGAAGUUUUUCCUACAUUAAACUUAUUUGGCUACCACACUGGUAAAAAUGACCUACACAUUUUACAGAUUUGCAUCAAGGUGGAAACCAAAAAAGGAUUCUUGCAGCCCAUCCCCAUUAAGAGGCAAACUGGACACCAUGACCACCAGCCUCAUCCCCAGUCCCUGUCCUGACUUCUCCAGCUCUGCCCACAACCCCUCAUCGGAGUGAGGUUUGUGUUUACACAGAUGGUCUUUCCCAACCAAAGAGGGGUGGAAGAGGCGCAGGCCCGUGAUGGUGGUGGUCCACAAGUUUCACUCAUUUGGCCUUCCAUUCAUUCUUUCGUUUAGUAAACAGUUACUGAUGGCCUACCGUGUGCCAGGCCUGCACAAGUUGCUGGAAUUCAGAGGUGGACAAGCGAGACCUGUCUAAGUUGGGGGGUGGCGCAGAGACAACAAACAAGCAAACUGUAAAUAGCUUUGGAACCUGAUAUGUCCUAGAAAGAAAAAUAAAGCAGGGCAAUGGCGAGAGAGGGAAGGAGGCAGGCCACAUGGGACAGAGUGGUCCAGAAAGCUUCGAAGAGGUGCCUCUGGGGUUAGGCUGCGGAACACUAGAAGAAUUCAGCCCUGCAGCACCCUCGGAAAAGCGUCCUGCAGAUACCCCAGGAAGGAAUGAGGAGGCUGGGGUGCUGGGAGGUUUGUGAGGAGGGCAAGGCGGAGAUCAGGAGGUGGGAGGGAUGGUCAGGGGCCAGACCUUAGUGCCUCCCUUUCUCCCCUUGCAGGAACUGAUGAGUAGGAGCAUGUUCUCCCCCUCCAGGAAGCUCAGGCCCUCCCAUUCCUCAGUGGUCCAGUUUCACCAGUUACUCCAGCUCCCUGGGGCAACAGGCUAUGAUGGGAGGGAGAUAAGUGGCAGUUGUGACAUGCUUUCUCUUUGUCCUUGAGGAGCUGGGAAGAUAGAACCUAUAUGGACCGCACUAGAGGGAGGGCAAUACAGACUGUGGACGAGCACCAGGGGGAUGCUGAGGGGCAGUACCGGGCAGUGUGGAGGACCACAGAGGCCAGAGGGCUGGGCAUCAGGGAAUGGCUAGAGCUUAUUAGCCUUGGUGGGAGUAAGAACUAGAUGGAAAGCAGGGGAUGGGGAGACAUUCCAAGUAGGAGGAACACAGAGCAAAGGAGUCCUCGUGGGAAGGAAAGGAUUAGAGGAUGGUCAUGCUCAAAUCAGUUUGACUGGAUUCCAGGGUUGGAAGAGAAGCUUGUAAAAGUGAGGACACCUAGCCAACAGAAAGGUAGCCAGGGUAGUGGUACAGAGCGUUUUAGCCACAAAUGCUCAAAGACAGGAAGGAGGACUUUAGAGCUACACUGGUCAGAUUCAAGUUUGGGUUCUGUCACUUACUAAUGAUAUGACCUCAGACAAAUUUACUUCUCUAGGCCUCUGUUUCCCCAUCUUCAUAACAGGAAUAAGAGUACAAACCUCAUUUUAUAUGGCUUAAAUGAGUCCAUAUUUGCAAAGCACUUAGAACGCACAGUACAUGGUCCAGAGUGAGUGUGAUAAUAGGUACUGGUUAAGUUAAUGGAUGCUGGUGAGCUAGUGAGACCCCUCCCUGAAGGCGACAGGAGGCUCUCAGGUGUUCAGGGCAGGACCAGGCAUGGAUGAAGAAGGUGCUCUACCCUGAUUCAUUCAGCAUCCCCAUGCAGGCUGGAGGGUCUGGAAGCAGGAAGGCUCGUUAGGAGCCUGCUGUAAUAGUCCAGCCAUGAGGUGAUGGGUGCCUGGUGAGGGUCUGCAGGUGAGGUUAGCGGGGAGGGAUGCAAAGGCAGGCCUGGUGGAAGAAAUGCUCAUCUGACACCUGGUGACUACAGACUGGAUAUGGGCAGUGGAAACUGGGGGCCUGGGCCUGGGUGAUGGGGUGGACACCGGGCUCUGGCCAGAGAGGGGAGCCGGAAAAGCCAUCUGUCUGGAGGAAGAUGGUACAGUCAUGUGAAGACAUGUUGCCUUGGAGGCAACGGCCUGCCCACAGUGUUCUGGGCGCCUCUCAUCUGCUGGGUCUGAGGAAAGGAAUCCUGUGGGGUUGGAUUCUGGCUCCUGGAGAGACAUGAGAAUGAGGGUGUCAGCCUGGGCCUCUGCACAUCUGCAUGUGUUGGGAGGAGGGUGGAUAGGCUGGGAAAAGGCAGUAAAUAAUGAAUGAGGCUGAGCCCACACAUUCUCUGUGCAUGAUAUGGAAAGGGCAAUAUGGAAGGAAGGCCCUGCCUGUGCUCACACUCCCAGACACUGGGUAACUGCUGAGUAUCUAUGCCCUUUGUGGGGAGGGGAGCUCAGAGUCUCACAGCCCAGCCCCACACUGACCCCCCUCAUCCUUGUCCCCACCUGGAUUAGGGUCGUAGCUGGGGUUCAGGGAUAGUGGUUGGGAGUGAUAGCAUUUUUAUUGGUUUCCAUGAACAAGUAUUGACUGGGAUCCAGUGAUUACUCACCUGCUUCAGGAUCCAGUGAGUAUAAGAGGCAAGCUAUCCAUAAAGCAAUGGAUUUUCUGAGCAUCUGCUGUGUUCAAGGCUCCAAAUAAGGUGAAGGGCCCAAAGUAAAAUGAAUUCCUUGGUUCCAGAAACCACAUGAGCCUAGGCUUUUGUUUUCCCAUUUUUAAUUAUCGAUGACCACAGCUUCAAUGCAGAUAUCAGAGAACCGCACCCUGCUUUCAGUUAUAAAAUCUAGGAGUAGCCUGUCUUUUAAAUGUAGUUAUUCCCUCCAGUCUUCCCUACAAAGAAUUCUUAGUUAUUUGAUAAGUGUAUUCGUGAAAUUUUCUUGGGAUUCAGUCAGUUUUUAUCAGCUUCUCAAAAUUUUUUUCCUAAAGAAACACUUUUUUAUUUCAGAAAAGAAUCAAGAAUAAAAUUAAAAAUGAUCCAACACCAGCUCUCAGAUGACCCCUUGCUUCUGCUUUUUAAAUGCAUUUGGAAAAUAGUUCAAAUGCUAUAGAAAGACACAAAACAAGAAGUAAAAUUCUCUCAUUGCUCCCUCUCCCAUGCCAAUUUCUCUUCCUAAAGGUUGGCACUAUUAAUGGUUUCUUACGUAUCACUCCGGAAAAUGUUUAACACAUUUAUCAGCAUUAUACAUGUAUUAUGUAUAUCCUAUUCUUAGAAGGUGCUUGCAGAAGUUAAGAACGGUUGCUCUCUCUGCCUUUGAUAGUCCAUUUUUAUGUUUUUUUUUCUGUCCUGUCAUAUCUACGUUUAAAAAAUAACAGUCAAGGGAACUGGGUUUCUUAGGCUCAUCUACCUUGGACUAGCUGGGUGACAUCAGCAAGUUACUGUACCUCUCUGAGCUUCAGUUUCCUCAUCACUAAAAUGGGGGUUCUUGGGGGGCUUCAAUGGCAGCGUGAAUGCAGAAGGCCUGGCUCAUCAGCAGUCCCUUAGCCCUCUUUGCAAGGAGGCAGGCUGCCAGUUCUAAAUAAAUGUUACAGAAGGACCAGUCAGCAGUUGUCCCUCAGAAUGACCUGUCACUUCGUUUCCCGGAUGCAGGAAAAAGAGCGUGGGAGUGUCCUGGCGGGAGAUGACAGGGUCACAUGAAUUCCUCACCCUCUGUGUUGGCUCCCACCCCAGGUGCUCAAUCGAUCUGGACUCUGGGAGGCUGGUCCCAUCUGUCCUUGGCUGGGAAGGAAUCCCUGUUAACCGUUGAAACAGUCCCCUGAUAUAUGGCUCUUGUCACCCUCCCCCUCUUUUUCUCUGAUCUCAAGUUUUAAGACCUCUGUGAUGCCUGCAUCAGGGACAAACAGCUCACAGGAAAAGUCUUCAGCAUCCUCCAGGGUCCAGAAGGCGACUUGGCCAUUUUCAGCAAAGCUGUGUAUAACCCCAGCAAGUUAGAAGGGAGAGCAAGAUUCCAGCCCAAGGAGGUGGAGCCAUGGUGAUGGCAAAUGACAGCAGAGAGUGGAUGAAGGCCAUUUGUGGCAUGCCAGGAAGUGUCUACCCCACUGCCGGGCCCUUGCAGGUACUGCUUGCUUGGUCCUCCCAACGGCAUUCCCACUUUACAGAUGGGGACGCUGAGGCUCAGAGAAUUGAGCCAACUUGCUAUUAUGUGACAGGGAGGCCAAGCUAGGACUUGACUCUGACAACAGAGUUCAGAGCUUAUGUUCUGCCCCAACACAGCACAGGUGGGUGUAAGGGAAAGGGACCAAACAGGGCCCCAGAACUCAAGGCCACAAAGUGGCUGCCCACACACAGACAUGUUUCUCUCAGGGUCUGCUUUUAUCAGUCCUGUUCUCUGUAUCAGUGUCUAGAACAGUGGCUGGCACAUAGUAGGUGCUUGGAAAAACUGUGAAAUGGAAAAAAGAAUAUCUGAUGGCUAACUAGACAAGCCCAUUCCAUACUCCGUAUCUGGUACUCCCUAAACUUGUCUCAGGGCCUGUGAAAAAUGGUAUGGGUAUAACACUGAACUACCAACCAGAUUUUGGAAAGGGGCCCGGGCCCCACCCUAUUCAAUAGCUCCCUUGGCAGAUCUCGUGGGAGACAGGAAAAAGCAGCACCCAGCCAGGAGUGGGAAGGUGUCGGGCCCGUGCUUCUCUGUAACAUGUAGUGGAGGCCAGGAGGUUGCCGGAGGUCCUUGGCCUCCUGCUGACAUCUCUGACUGCCCGGAAUCUGUGGCCUGUGGUCCUGGCAGGGAGGCACUGAUGAGAGAAAUGGGGGACGACUGGGACCUGAGCAACAGGGCACCUGUGACAGGUCGCACUGCAGCUCUAGCUGGCCUCUUGGGGCUGGGGGAGGGAGGAAGUACUGGGCUGAAGGUCACAGUGGGGUCAGCCUUGCUUCUAUCCUGCCGAGGGGCAGUGCCAGUGAUGAGGGAGCCAGGUGUCUGGCUCAAUCUGUGAGGAGCAUAUGUUAAUAGCAGUAAGAGCAAUAAUUGGACACAGGUGCCUUCCAUGUAAUUUUCUCAUCUUUCACAACAAACCUAGGAGCUAAGUACUAUUUUAUCUUCAUUGAGCAGAAGAGAAAAUGGAGGUACUGAAAGGUUAGGUUGUAAGUGGGAUUUGAGCCAUGGAGCCUGGCUCCUGAGCCCUUGUGUGACCACAGGGACCCACUGCCAUUAUCAAGGCCAGCCUUCCCUUCAGGGCUUUUUUCUCCAGCCUCUAAGAAAGACCCUACAAGCUUCAGGCCCUGUCUGCCUCCACCUUCCAGGUAAACCUCUGUCAUCUCUGAACAACCGGGAAAAGCAGAGAAGGCUGGCUCUGGGGUAGGGGCAGGGGCAGGACAGAUGUCAGGAGAGCCAGCAGAGGAUUGGCCAGAUGGACGACUGGACGAAGGGCAUCUGGGUGGAGCACAGAGGGUGCAGAGGCACCGAGACACAAGGUGUAUUUCCUGGAGUGCAGUUCAAUCAGGUGGAGAGUGGGUUGUACAGGUGGGGGGAUUUGAAUGAUAAAACUGCUCACACACAGAGCAUCAGGGCUUCAACACCCACCUGGGAUUGGGGGAGAGAAGGGAAGAAGACUGGGCCUGGUGAUUUAGAUCCCGGGUUUUGUGGACGAUAAGGCCAGGCCUUGGGAUAUGUGCCCACUCUGCCCCGCACCCUCCCAGAACAGCCCUGGGAGACAGGACUGCUGUUCCUUCUCUCCAGGCUUCAUUGUUAAAGACUUGCAGUUUCUUAGGAGCCCUGAGCUUCAGGUAAGAAAUCCUCUGCUGGGAGGGCCAUGUGGGGAAGCCACAUGAAGGAGUGGCCCUGAUCGAGGGGAGAGAAGCAGCCAGCCCAGGUCUCAGCCGGCCCCCCCAGCCAGCCAGCGGCAGCCACACAUGGAGUCCCAGCAAGAUGAGUAGAGGAACCGCCCCAGCUGAUGCCCCUCAGAGCAGAGAGCAGCCAACUCCUUCAGGCCCUGUGCAUGCUGCAGAAUACUAAACGAAUAAAUGACUGUUGUUUUAAGCCCCUGAGUUUUGGGGUGCCCUGUGACAUACAACAGAUAUUUGAAACAGAAAUU
This is a non-coding RNA of Manis javanica (Malayan pangolin), 6858 nucleotides long. The record is from RefSeq and is a predicted model, not a curated record. Lineage: Eukaryota; Metazoa; Chordata; Mammalia; Pholidota; Manidae.